GAUGAACGCUGGCGGCGUGCUUAACACAUGCAAGUCGAACGAUGAAGCCCAGCUUGCUGGGUGGAUUAGUGGCGAACGGGUGAGUAACACGUGGGUAACCUGCCCUUGACUCUGGGAUAAGCCUGGGAAACUGGGUCUAAUACUGGAUAUGACUUCUCAUCGCAUGGUGGGGGGUGGAAAGAUUUAUUGGUCUUGGAUGGACUCGCGGCCUAUCAGCUUGUUGGUGAGGUAAUGGCUCACCAAGGCGACGACGGGUAGCCGGCCUGAGAGGGUGACCGGCCACACUGGGACUGAGACACGGCCCAGACUCCUACGGGAGGCAGCAGUGGGGAAUAUUGCACAAUGGGCGCAAGCCUGAUGCAGCGACGCCGCGUGAGGGAUGACGGCCUUCGGGUUGUAAACCUCUUUCAGUAGGGAAGAAGCGAGAGUGACGGUACCUGCAGAAGAAGCGCCGGCUAACUACGUG
Molecule: ribosomal RNA, 466 nt
Filed under: uncultured bacterium
Lineage: Bacteria
Description: partial 16S ribosomal RNA
Rfam family: Bacterial small subunit ribosomal RNA
Source: RNAcentral